ACAACUUUCAACAACGGAUCUCUUGGCUCUCGCAUCGAUGAAGAACGUAGCGAAUUACGAUAUGUAAUGUGAAUUGCAGAAUUCAGUGAAUCAUCGAAUCUUUGAACGCACCUUGCGCUCUUUGGUAUUCCGAAGAGCAUGCCUGUUUGAGUGUCAU
This 157-nucleotide ribosomal RNA is filed under the name Waitea circinata. RNAcentral's name for it is "5.8S ribosomal RNA". It matches the Rfam family "5.8S ribosomal RNA". From Rfam's summary of the family: 5.8S ribosomal RNA (5.8S rRNA) is a component of the large subunit of the eukaryotic ribosome. It is transcribed by RNA polymerase I as part of the 45S precursor that also contains 18S and 28S rRNA. The record is from RNAcentral. Lineage: Eukaryota; Fungi; Basidiomycota; Agaricomycetes; Corticiales; Corticiaceae.